UUGUCAUGCCCUCUCACCCCUUUUCGUCUCUCUCAAACGAAUCAAACACCCCGCCGAAACCCUAGCGCCGCCCACCAUUCCAUCGCCCAAAAACUCGGUGGUCAGUGCUCUGUUCACCGCCAAAAUCACACCCGAAAAUCCCCACGACCUCCCCGUCCCAAAUCACCAACAGUCGUCCUUCGAAUACUGCCAAAAUUACUCGAAUCUUAGAUCGUAGGAUGAACACCAAAAUCCCCAAAUGUCAAACAUCCAAGUUUCUAGGCUUUGAGGCUGAGAUAGACUAUAAUCGGGUGUUUUCAGUCGAAAACAUGCGAUUAAGGUCCGUCUCAGUCCAAGAUAAGCGUCAUAUCAAAGAAGACAAAAGGUUUGAGCCUUGUUAUCGUGGUGGUCUCAUUUUUAGGUAUUUCCUUGUUCUCCUCUUCUUCUGUGUCAUUUUAAUUUUUAGUUUUAUCAGUUAAUUAUCUCCUCCUCUUCUCCAACCUUGUUCUUGGUCCAAAUUUUCUUUUGUUAAUUAUCAUAUGUUAUAAAUGGUUUAAUCGAUUAAAUAAGUUUCGUCCAUUAGUCCAUUAUGUUUGAGUGUUAGCGAUGUUGAUUAUGUUAUAAUGGUUUCCCGAGAUAAGCGGCAUAUCAAAGUUAAAGACAAGAGGUUCGAGCCUUGUUAUCUUGGUGGUCUCAUUUUUAGGUAUUUCCUUGUAUUCCUCUUCUUUUGUUCCAUUUUAAUUUGUCGUUUUCAUCAGUUAACUAUCUCCUCCUCUUAUGCGACCCUGCUCUUGGUCCAAACUUUCUUUUGUUAAUUAUCAUAUGUUAUAAAUUGUUUAAUCGAUUAAAUAAGUGUCGUCGAUUAGUCCAUUAUGUUUGAGUGUUAGCGAUGUUGAUUAUGUUAUACUGGUUUAGUUUUCGGUUUUUAUUUCAUAAUUCAUUCUAGUCUGUUUCUCAUACUACUGUGUGUUGGAAAUGAGCCUGAUGAUAUGUUGGAACUUAGAACCGAGCCUAUUGAUAUAUUCAGUUUAUCUCAUGAACUGAAUUGAUUGCUCAUUUUGUCUGUCAAAUUCCCUUAAUGCUCUUCUGAUUGUUUCUUCUUUUGUUUUCCAAUUCGAUUGGGUGUAUAGUUGGUUCACUUGUUUUUGUUAUAUGUAAGAUUGGUUCCCCAAUACAAAUUAGUUUAAUGAAUGCUAUCAUGAACCAUUGGUCUUCAUGUUUGGUAUCAUUUUUUAUUUGAUUUGAGUUUCUUCUUUGAAUUACUUAUUUUGGACUAAAGAUUGGCUAUAGCUUUUAAUUAUAGAAUGGUUUUAGAUAAUUAGAUGUUUGAUUCUGUUUGCCGAUGUUCUGAAUCAGAACAGUAGCAGUCAGUAGGAUUCAGGGGUAAUUUGGGAAUUGAAAAAUGAGAAAAUGUUCAGUUUGGAAUAGCUGCCAGUUGAAUGGUUUGGGGGCCAUUGAACCAUUGAAUAAUUUAAUUAAAAAGGGGGACUGUGGGGUCCAUGCUGACUACUUUUACUUAAUCGGACAUUAGAAAUAGUAUAGGUAAUAAUAAUAAAGUUAAAAGGUGCACAUAGUUAAAGGAAUAUUCGGCUGGAAAGUAAAAUGAGUAGUAAUAAUCUGUAAAAAGAAAAAGGAAAUGGCCUGAAAUGGGGACUGCUUUAGGUAUAAAAUAUGGGUAAUUUGACAGUUAAUGGGGAGAGAUUUUUGGAAGGAAAAUUUCAGAACUUAAGAGCUCAGGACUGGAUUUUGAAGAUGGAAGUCCAGAGCUUAAAGAGUGAAUUGAGGCUGAACUUUGCAAACAAAGAAAAAUUUUCAAAGUUUAAGUUAAAGGACUGAAUUUUAACAUUAGAAAAUCCAGUAAUUUGAGAGAAAGAAACUGAAAAGUGAGGCCCUUUUUGUUAUCUGAUCAGGAUAGCUUGCUACUAUAUCACUGAAGCUUCACUUCUUUCUUUGAGUGUUUGAAAAUCAGAAACAUCUUGUUCCAUUGUGUUUUCUGAUUCCCCUGUUUUCUGCCAGUAAUUUUUGGUAUUUUUGGUUUUCAAGUGGUAAUAUCUGGAUUGUGCUAUCGGAUUAACUGUUACUGUUCGUUCCGAAUUGUGGGUUUUUCAAAAUCUGUCCCGCGGGUUUCAGUUGUUGGGUUUUGCUGGUUAUUACUAAAAGUUGGUUUCAUCCGUUACUGUCGCUGCUGCUCUGUUGUUGCUGCUUAAUUCUCAUCCUCCUUUUCUUCUUGUACUCCUAAUACUAGGUACACUACUUUGAAUCAACUCGAUGUAUGUUCAUUGAAGGUCAAAUGAAACGGCCAAAAGGAUUUAUGAUUCAACUAAUGAGAACCUGUAUUUAGUUAAUCUUUGUUAGGUAUUUUCCUAUUAUAUUAGUGAUAUAUGUAUGCAUAAUUAGGACUGUUCUUUUAUAAGAUCACUGUUUAACAAUAAUAUGAUGUGUGAUGUUAGAUUAUGGAACUGAAAUUCUUGAAAUGGCAUGAACAUUAGUCAGCAAAGUAUGUAAUCUUAAAUUGAGCAAUUUGUUAGAUUGUUAAGCUAGUGGAUGUGUUCCUGUAUGAACCUCAUAUUUAUUAGUUUCAGCUUUGUUAGUUCAUAUAUGUAGAAUAGUGUAGUUCAGAAUCACAUUCAAUUCGAAUUGAUGAUUAAUAAGUGUUUAGAAUUGUUUCGAUUUAGUCGAUUGGUGAGGUAUAAAUCUGAGCUCACGAAACUGGAAUAGAAGUAAUUGAAGUUUGGUGAUUUUGACUCUUGUUAGUAACAAAAAUCCGCUAGUAUUAGGCAAAUAUAAGUGGUCAUUAAUUUUAUAGAAUCAAUAGGUUUGACAUAUUUGAAGUGUGAAUCAAUAUAGUAAGGCUAAGAACCUUAAUCCAAUAGGUAUUAGUCGAGCAAGAUGAUUUCACAUUCAAGUUUAAUAAAUUUUCAAAUAAGCCUUAGUAAUUGAGGUUAAUUCUAGUUGUAAACAAUUAAUUCCAAUGGUUUAUUCAUCAAACAAUGUGGGCUUAAACUAGCUAUAGGAUAGUUAGUUUAUUUUGAUAAUAUUAUUCGUAGAUUCCAUACUCUAUCUAAUUUCAAAUUUCAGUAUUAUUGGCUUAUAGAAUAAAGCAUGAAAUAAUCUCCUUUUACGCAAGUUUGAAUGCAAUUUUUUGGUUGCAUUUGUUUAAUCUGAUUAAUAAGAGGCCCGAACUUGUAAACAUGUAAUUAAUUAGGACCUGUUAUUUUUUUAUUUUAGAGACAAACUUAAUAGAAGAAAAUGUAGUCACUUUUAGGAUUAUCCUAUUAAAAUAAACGGGAUGAGCCUCGCCAAAUAAAACGUAAAAGCGGCAGGGCCUCAAUAAAUGGAUAUAAUAAUUGGAUAGACCUUGGGAUCGGCCGAUUAGUGAAUUUCACAGUUUUUCCCCAAAAUAAUAACGCGUUAGUCUCUUUAGGCGCGUACUUUAAAUAACCUUACCUUCUUAAACUCGGGUGCACAUUUAUGUGACCCAAAUCUAAAUCUCAACGGAGUCAAAAUGUAUCGAUAACCAUGGGUACAUUGACUGUGAUGUGGUUCGAGAUACGUUUUCACAACGUUGCAAUUCUUCAUUAAAAUAAUAAUAAUAAUAACAAUUAUAAAAGCGGUAAAAAAGAUAUAAUUUGCACAAGUGCAUAUUUGUAUAAAAUCAGAUAAUUAAGCCUAAUAUAACAAUUGAGCGACUGUGCUAGAAUCACAUAAUUUGAGAAUGCCUAACACCUUCUCCCGGGUUAACAGAAUUCCUUAUCCGAAUUUCUGGUUCGCGGACUGUUAAACAGAGUCAUUUUUUCCUCGAUUCGGGAUUAAAAUCGGUGACUUGGGACACCAUAAAUAUCCCAAGUGGCGACUCUGAAAUAAAAAUAAUAAAUCCCGUUCGAUUGUCCUUUAACUGGAAAAAACUCCUUUACCUUUCGCGGGGCAGAAAAGGAGGUGUGACAGCUGUGGCGACUCUGCUGGGGACAAAGUAACCUAGAACCACUGUUUCAGGGUUAGAAAUUCGAGCUUAAAAUAAUUCUUGUAUUUGGCUUUCUUUAUUAUCUUAUGUUUAUUACAAUUUUUGGAUGUGCAAAAUAUUGCUUAUUACCGCUUUGAUAUUAUUUAAACUAUGUAUAUAAAUUGCUACGAAACCCUUUUUUCUGAGUUAUCUGAAAAUGGUGCAUACGUUCGCGUAGCCCGCUUUUUAUAAAAAUUAUACCAAUUAGAUCAAGGUUGGGCAAGCGACAAGGCCGGGCAGACUUUAGUGCUCCCGAUAUGUCGCCCCCUCCUCAGCCCCAGUUGUCCGCUCGGGUUCCCCAACUCUAAAACAAACACCUAUGUUUUAAACCUUGUAUAACAGAACCUCAUGCCGGAUCCCUAGUAGGAACGUUUAUUUUCAUCAUGUGUAUAUUGACUUAGGGGACUCAACACAGGGAUUGGGUCCGUCUAGGACAAGGCGACCUGAAGUGAAAAGACCAUCCUGCUGCAUCCUGUUUAUUUUAUGCAUUUAUUUGCUUCAGACUGGCAUGCUGACCGGCUUUGAAUACUGGAAAAUUGCAGGGAAAAAAAGAAAGAAAAAAAACUAGCAGUGUAGAGUGUUAAUUACAUGUUUUUAGAAAAUCAAUUUCCAAAUAGUGGCGGAACUCUACCAAAAUUUUGAGAAAAUGAAGAAAAAGGAGAAUUGUUUUUUUUAGUUUAGUUUGAUUUAUUUGAAAAACAAAAGAAAGGAGUCUUGUUUUCAAAUUUAGUUUGUUUUCUUUAUCGAACUAUGCCGGUUUGAUUCUUACAAAAUGUGAGAUAUGUAGCAGGCCUCAUCGGGUCCAACCUCCUCUUUGCUAAAAUAGCCACAAAAAAAUGUUAAAAUUUUAAUUUUCGUCAUAAAGAAGUCGGGUGAUGCUGUUUUUUGUCGAACAUAUCCGAAUGUUCCCGAAAGGGACGCCGGAACAAUGACUUUGCAUAAACAACUACCUUUGGGUCAUUUUUAGAUUGGGCCAGUUGACCCACACAUCCUUAAAAUCCUCGUCCCCGAGGCGCUGAAAGGCCGUAUUUGCAAUAUCAGAUUUUUAUUUUAAUUUGGGAAAAAACAAAAAUGUCAAAAUUUUAAUUGUUGUCAUAAAUAAGUUAGGUGGUGUCGCUUUUGUCAAAUAUAGUCGAAUGUUCCCGAAAGGGACGCCAGAAGGCUGACUUUACAUAAAUGGCCACCUGUGGUCAUUUUGUAGAUUCGGUUGGUUGACUCACACAACCUUAGAAUCUUCGUCCCCGAGGCGCUGAAAGGCCGUGUUUGCAAAUAUUUGGUUUUCUCUUUUGAAAGUAAGGAAAUAGUCAUAAAUAAGUCGGGUGGUGCUGUUUUGUCAGAAAUAGCCGAAUGUUCCCAAAAGGGACGCCGGAAGGAUGAUUUUUCAUAAGCAACCGCCUUUAGUCAUUUUUAGGAUUUGGCUGGUUAGCUAACACAACCUUAAAAUCUUCAUCCCCGAGGCGCUAAUAGGCCGUGUUUGCAAUACCAGGUAUUUUAUUUUUUUAUUUUUUAAAAAAGGGAAUCAUAAAUAAGCCGGGAUGAUGCAUGCGGUCGGAGCAAAAACAUGUUAGAAAUGGUUAACUGCCUAAGAGCAUUGCAUUCACCAACGUGCAAUUGCAAUAUCUGUUAAAACUCUAACUCUAACAAGUUUGUUGUUUUUCCAAAUUCAAUCAGUUAGUUUGUUCGAGCGUACUGGCACCAUACCAUUAUCAAACAAGCUCUAGCGCUGACAAGUUUGUUGUUUUUGCAAAUUCAAAUAGUUAGUUUGUUAGAGCGUACUGGCACCAUACCAUUAUCAAACACGAUCAAAAGGGCCUAUACCAUAAAGCAUGACUAGCUCAGAAAGCAGUGUUGAGUCGGAAAAGACGGCAAAUCAGAUGCUGAAGGAGGCAAUGGAAAAAAUGAGAUUGGAGAUGAACGAAAUGCAGCUAGCCUUGGCUAGGGCACAAAAGGGGCCUGAACCACCCGUUAAUCCUACUCUCCCACCAGAACACAAGCCUGAAUACCCUUCCCCCGGCCCUUCAACAAGCUUCCCAAGCCAUCACUACUAUCAGGGAAGAGAUGCCUAUGAUCCCCAAGCUCCACCACCCAAUCAGAACCCUCCUCUACCGAAUGGUCCUGUCUUUGUGGCCCCUCCCCAAGCCACAUUACAAAGAUCGUCUAGUGAACCACUGUUACAAACUCACGACACCUAGUAUUACCCUCCUGAACCCACUUUUAAAGCUCCUGAUCCACACACAUAUACACUCCAUUUUGGGAUCCCGGAGGAAGCUGAGAAAUCGAUUAAGAAUGCGGAACAGGAGGAAGUGAUUCGAAAAUUCAAAAUCUUGGAGCAAUCCUUCAGGAACAUGCACGAUUUAGGCAACAAAGUCAGUGUUGCCUACAAGGAUCUAUGCCCUUUCCCUGAUGUCCAAUUGCCGGCAGGGUUCAAGAUGCUAAAGUUUGAUCUACACGAAGGGCACGCCGAUCCUAUGGCACAUCUGCGUGGUUUUUGCAGCAAGAUGAGAGGAGCAUGUGGUAACGAUGAGCUGUUGAUAGCUUACUUUGGUCAAAGUCUGAGUGGGUCUGUACUGGAAUGGUACACAAGACAGGAUCCGAGCAGGUGGUACACAUGGGAUGAUCUAGCACAAGCAUUCGUAGGUCACUUUCAGUACAACCUUGAGAUCGUCCCUGACCGUCUUACAUUGCUGAAGCUUGAGAAGAAGCCUGGGGAAAGCUUCCGGGAAUUUGGGUUCCGGUGGAGAGAACAUGCAGCCAAAGUUGAUCCUCCGAUGAGAGAGGGGGAAAUGGUGGACUACUUUUUGCAAACUAUAGAGCCAACUUACUUUGGUCACUUGGUAACGUCGGUUGGCAAAUAUUUCAACAAGGUAGUGAAAAUGGGUGGUAUGAUUGAGAGGGACUAAGUCCAACAAGAUCUUGAGUUAUUCGGCGAUUAAAGCAACCACUCAAGCAAUCCAGAGCGGAACGGGAGGUGCGCUCGGAAGAAGAAAAGAGAAGAGGUCGCAACAGUAGAGGCAUGUAAUUGGUCCAGAUCGAGAGGUCCUUCCCCUCGCUUCCAAUCCAGACCCCACCACCCAAAUCACCGAAAUUACCCUCAACAAAAUACCUAUCCACCUCCACAAAAUAUACAUCUACCUCCACGAAACACACAUCCACCACCAACGACCUACAGGAAUCCUUCAGGGCCAGGUUUCCGCGGGAAUCAAGCUUUCAAAAAUGAAAGGGUACGGAGAACAUUCACUGAGUUGGGAGAAACCUAUACUUCUUUGUUCCACAAAUUAAGGCAGUUAGGCUUGUUGAGUCUUGUUGAGCCCAGAUUUCCAAAUCCCCUUCCCCAAAAUAUGGACCGCUUGGUAAGCUGUGAGUAUUGUUCAGGAGCUCCUGGAAUGAUACCAAGAAGUGUUGGAAGUUGAAAAAUGCAGUGCAAAAUCUUAUUGACAUCAACAAAGUCAAGGUUGAGACACUAGAGGCACCCAACAUCAAUCAGAACCCGUUGCCGGCACAUCAUGAAGCCCACAUGAUCGAGCUAGUGCACGAAGGAGGGGAGCUACGAAACCUCACAAACAGUGAUGAUGAUCCGUGCCGGUUCAAAAGAAAAGUCGACCAGUGAAAAAGUGGUGGUAUAUUUGGAAAAAGUAGACGACAAGCCAGUUAUGGUGUUGCGAUAAGGGUCCAGUGGGGCUGAUGUACAGUUAGUGCGGCCUAGGGCCAAUAACAACAAUUUGACGGUUACUCCUCUUCCCGCCUAGAGGGAGUCUUGGUAGUGGGCUCUGAUUUUUCUUUCUUGUUGUUUGGAUUAUUCUAGAGUUGUAAUCCAGUUGUUUUGUUUCGUAUUAAGAAAAAGUGUGAAACUCUGUUAUCCCGCAUUUUAAAAGUGAAAGUUUUCUCUUCUUAUUUUAUUUUCUUCUUUUCUCUUUCUGAACAAAUCUCUUAAUACAGGUUCUAAUGACAUGGCAUGCACGACGGAUAUUCAACCUGGUCUAAAAAAAUCAAUCUGAUUCUGAGCUAAUAGUACAAGAGGUAGAUUGAUGAUGAUGAGUGGGUCCAAACCCGAUUGGAGCAAUUGAGCUUGGUUGAUGAAAAGAUAUUGGCAUCGGUAUGACAUGGCCAAUUGUAUCAAAAAAGGGGAUGGCAGGAGCCAAUAAUAAGAGUGUGCAUCCUUAGAAAUUUGAAGUGGGUCAUCAAGUGUUGAAACGAAUCCUGCCGCAUCAGGCUGAAGAAAAGGGAAGUUCGCCCCGAACUGGCAAGACCAUUCAUUGUGACCAGAGUGUCAUCCAAUAGCGCUUUAUGUUUGAUAGAUGUCGAGGGAAGAUGUAUCGGCAUGGCUGUCAAUUCUGAUGCAGUCAAGAGGUAUUUUGUAUGAUUUCUUUGAUUAUAAUUGUUUAUUUGUUUGUACUUGGCAUUGAUCGGAGAAUGAAAUGAGGGAGGCAAUUUUUCUACUAUCCUAACACUUUAACCUUUGCUUCCCCCUUUUGAACCUUAUUUAUUCUUUCAUACCCCUCUUUUGGAAUCACUAAUGAAAAUGAAAAACAAAUAAUGAAAAAAGGAGAGAAGAAAAGAAAAGAAGGAAAAAAUGAUAACAAAUAAAAAACAAGAGAGAAGUCACAAGAAAAACAAAGGAAUCGAGUGAACUACGUUCAAACUGAUUCCUCAAAGAGGAUACGUAGGCGUCUCACGACUCAGCCAAAGUGUAAUAAAAACUCAAAAAAAUUCCCCAAGAAAGAAAACUGGGGCAGAAGUUAUAUUUUAAAAAUUUUUGGAAAAAGUUUGAUUCCAAGAGUUGUAAUGUUUUACCCAUCGAAGUUAUUUCGAACUUUUGAUAUCCUUUUCUUUUAACCCCACGCAAAAACACAUGUGUAUCUAAAAAAGACCUCCCGAUCAGUAUCCGAGAGGUGCUAAGUCAGCAAAUGAAAGACGAGAAUCAUAAAGUAAUCCCCGACCGAAAGAGGAUCAUGAGCUGAAGGAAUUGACAGCCAAAAGAAUCCCCAGUAGAGAGAAUCUUAUCGGUAACACUCCAGUCCCCAGCUAAGAAAAUGAAAUGAGAGAGUCUUAUCGGUGAAGACCUUCACAUGCACCAUAAGGCGACUAAGGCUGAGAGAAACAGAAUGAGAGAGUCUUAUGGUGAAAACCUUCACAGGAACCAUAGGGCGACGAGAGUUGAGAGAAAUGAGAGAGUCUUAUUAGUGAAAACCCCUCGAAGGGCACUAUGAGGCGACAAGAUAAGGUUGGCAGAAAGGUUCCAUCGAGGCAUCAAGCCAUGCAAAAAUGUGUUUCGGCAAAAGAGAUGGAUGCUUUCUUAUCCCCAGCAAAAUGAGGCCAUAAGAAAGAUUGAUUGAUAAAUAGACUGGGUUGGUUAGAUCCGGAAUGCACGACAUGAUCGUUGGGAUCGGUCAUACCAAUCAGAUAAGUUCUUUUUCUUUUCUUCUCCCCAGCAUUUGUUCACAAAGAGUUUAUUUCCCUAUCUUUUGAAGUUAUCACUUUUCAUUCCUUUGUUUAAAGACUUUUUUCCAGCAGUUUUUUUAGAAAGAUUUUUCAGUGCCUACUACCAGUUACCAAAAUGUUGCAAAGAAAAAUGCGAAUAUGACCGGCCGAAGAUAAGGCAAUAAAAUGAAAAGGAAGUUUGUUGCAAAACCAAAUGCUGAAUUGGUCUAGAUUCCAAGAGGACCAAAACGUUUCGGGGGAAGUAUGGAGAAAAACAGGAAAACAACAUUUGAGAAAAUUGUGGAUCAAAUUCCAAGAGGGUCCCCAGCAGAUCAUCGAGAUGUAGGAGCAUCCCGACAGAUUUUCGUCCAAGAUCUAAGAGGGUUGGACAACACAAAGCGGGGAAGGAAGAAAAGGAAAAGCCAUCCCCAGCAAAUAAUAUCAUCCCUAACAAGUUUUGAUAGUGCAAUGGAAUGAAGAGAAUGGAAAGGAGAAAGAGAAAAAACCAUCCCCAGCAGGAGUGACACGACCACUCAACACAUUUUAAAAUAAUGAAAUUUUCUUUGAUUUGAAGCAGGAAAAAGAAAUAUUAUUAAUGGCAGAAAGACACACCACAAAGAAGAUUACCAAAACUGGGGUAGAAAAUGUUCUGUUAUUUUCGAAAAUUUUCUCGGAGGAACGAGGAAAUCAAUUCAAAUUUAAAGGGAUAGUAAGAUAGCACAAUUUUAAGAAAAACAAUCGGAGGUAAGAUAAUUUCAAGUUUUAAAGUCGGGAGCCCGCCUGUAUAAUAGAAAAAUACCUUUCAGUUUUUAAAUUUCAAAAUUUGAAGUUGGGUCUAUCUGCCCUCGAAUAUGAUAUGAUGGGUCUAUCCGCCCUCGAAUAGGAUAGGAUGGGUCUAUCCGCCUUUGAAUAGGAUAGGAUGGGUCUAUCCGCCCUUGAAUAGGAUAGGAUGGGUCGAAUAGGAUAGGAUGGGUCUAUCCACCCUCGAAUAGGAUAGGAUGGGUCUAUCCUCCCUCGAAUAGGAUAAGAUGGGUCUAUCCGCCCUCGAAUAGGACACGAUGGGUCUAUCUGCCCUCGAAUAGGAUAGGAUGGGUCUAUACGCCCUAGAAUAGGAUAUGAUGGGUUUAUCCGCCCUCGAAUAGGAUACGAUGGGUCUAUCCGCCCUCGAAUAGGAUACGAUGGGCGCCCUCGAAUAGGAUAUAAUGGGUCUAUCCACCCUCGAUUAGGAUACGAUGGGUCUAUCCACCCUCGAAUAGGAUGUAAUGGGUCUAUCCGCCAUUGAAUAGGAUAUUUUGGGUUCAUCCACCCUCGAAUAGGAUAUUUUAGGUUUGUUCACCUUCGAAUAGGAUAUUUUGGGUUCAUCCGCCCUCAAAUAGGAUAUUUUGGGUUCAUCCGCCCUCGAAUAGGAUAUUUGGGGUUCAUCCGCCCUCGAAUAGGAUAUUUUAGCUUCAUCCGUCCUCGAAUAGGAUAUUUUGGGUUCAUCCGCCCUCGAAUAGGAUCUUUUGGGUUCAUCCACCCUUGAAUAGGAUAUUUAGGUUUGUCCACCUUCGAAUAGGGUAUUUUGGGUUCAUCCGCCCUCGAAUAGGAUAUUUUGGGUUCAUCCACCCUCGAAUAGGAUAUUUUAGGUUUGUCCACCUUCGAACAUGAUAUUUUGGGUUCAUCCACCCUCGAAUAGGAUAUUUUGGGUUCAUCCGCCCUCGAAUAUGAUACUUUCGGUUCAUCCGCCCUCGAAUAGGAUAUUUUAGGUUUGUCCACCUUCGAAUAGGAUAUUUUGGGUNNNNNNNNNNNNNNNNNNNNNNNNNNNNNAUGUAAUCCUUCGAAUAGGAUAUUUUGGGUUCAUCCGCCCUCGAAUAGGAUAUUUUGGGUUCAUCCACCCUCGAAUAGGAUAUUUUAGGUUUUUCCUCCUUCGAAUAGGAUAUUUUGAGUUCAUCCGCCCUCGAAUAGGAUAUGUUGGGUUAAUCCACCCUCAAAUAGGAUAUACUUGGUUCUAUCCGCCCUCAAAUAGGAUAUACUUGGUUCUAUCUUUCCUCGAAUAGGAUAUGAUGGGUCUAUCAGCCAUCAAAUAGGAUAUUUCGGGUCUAUCCGCCCUCAAAUAGGAUAUGAUGGGUCUAUCCCCCUCAAACAUGAUAUUUUGGGUCUAUCUGCCCACAAAUAGGAUAUUUCGGGUCUAUAUGCCCUCAAAUAGGAUAUUUCGGGUCUAUCUUCCCUCAAUUAGGAUAUUUUGUGUCUAUCUGCCCUCAAAUAGGAUAUUGAAUUUAAUCCUUACUUAAAAGUACAUUUAAUUUAUUUCGACCCGAGUGGUCCUGCUUGUAUAAAUAUGGCCAAAAUAUAUAUUUCAUAGAACAUUGCCAAAUGCACUUUAUUUUCAAAGUUGUUGAUGAAGUUAGGCGUCCACCUGUAUAAUGAGAGGAAUACAUUUCAUGUCUUAGCUAAUUAGGCGCCCACCUGCAUAAUAAGAGGAAUACUUUUCGUGUCUAUUUAUUUAGGCGCCCACCUGUAUAACUAGUGAAUAGUUUUCAUGUCUUUUCAUUUAGGCGCCCACCUGUAUAAUGAGAGGAAUACAUUUCAUGUCUUAGCUAAUUAGGUGCCCACAUGUAUAAUGGGAGGAAUACUUUUUAUAUCUUUGCAUUAGGCGCCCACCUGUAUAACAAGGGAAUACAUUUCAUGUCGUUACAUUAGGCGCCCACCUGUAUCAUGGGAGAAAUACAUUUCAUGUCUUUACAUUUUAGGCGCCCACCUGUAUAACGAGGGAAUACAUUUCUGUUUUACAUUUUAUGUCUUGAAAUGAGCAACCCACGGAAGGCAGAAAGUUACAACAAAAAAAUCCCCAGCAUAAGGAAGGAAGACGUAUCCUCAGCGCACGGAACAAAAUGAUGAAAUUGGUGUUCAGAAAGGUAAAAGGCCAGUGUCAUCCCAACAGUUUUCGGCAGAAAGAAGCACCAAAGGAAAUACAAGCCGACAAGAAAGCAAGGCAGCAAGAACAAGUUGAAGAUAAGAUCUUGUGAUAUGUAGUCUAGCCUAGCUUCUUGUUUUCUUUUUGGAACGGUGUAAUAAGGAGAUCGGUAAAGCAGUAGUAACAACAUGCAGCAGUAGUAACAGCAAAAUUGCAGUCCCGCAGUAGUCCCAGCUACCAAAACGUUACGAACUACAUUAACCUGAUUCCCUUUUAGCCAGGGAUAUGUAGGAAACCUUUGAAGCGAAGGUUCGGUUAAAUCUUUCAAAAAAUGCUUCACAUGGAGUACUCAAACGGGCAAAAAUCGCUCGUAACCGCUCACUUUAUCUUUGCACGUAAACUCUUCGUGCUUUCAAACAAAGAGGGGCAGUUGUGAACACAUGAUUUUUGUUUUCACGACAAUUACUCCAAAAGAAAUCAAAAAAAUAAAACAAAUUGUCUUUGCGUAUAAUUUUUAGAAUUUGCGUGGCAUUUCAGACAGUUAUUUGUAGUUUUAUCUGUGAUUGUUUAUUUUUUUAAAUUAAAAAUACAAAAAUACAUGUUGCAUGCAUAUUUAGGAUUUAAUUGUGCAUAUAGGAAUUAAUUAAAUCAUAAUUUGGUUUUAAAAAGGGAAAAUAACAAAAAUAUGCAUUUAUUCUAUUUUUGUAAUUUAAAUGUGCCAUUGUGUGAUUUUAUUUUAAUUGAAUAUUUUAACUUGUGUGUUAAUUGUUGUUAAGGGUUAAUUAAUAUUUUGUAGUUUUAAAUUUUUUAUGUUACAAUUUAAUUAGGAAUUUUGUUAAUAUGAAUGAAAAAGAAGAAAGAAGUGAAAAUAAAGGGAAACCAGACUGGGUCAUUGCAAAUUGGGCCAAAACCAGUCCCAAGUCUCACCAAGACGCGUCCCAGUCCAAGCCACCUCUAAUACCCACUAUACAACCCCGUUUUGAUGUGAGUUAAUCGUAGCCAUUGGAUGCUAAUCCUCCAACGGCUUGGAUUGGAACUUAAAUUUUAAUACCCAAACCACCAAACCCUAAACCCAAUGUCAUUUGUUACGCCCUCUCACCCCCUUCGUCUCUCUCAAAUGAACCAAACACCCCACCGAAACCCUAGCGCCGCCCACCAUACCCCCCCGCCCAAAAACCGGCGGCCAGUGCUCCGUUCACCGCCAAGAUCACACCCUAGAACCCCCAUGACCUCCCCGUCCCAAAUCACCAACCGACAUCCUCCGAAUACUGCCAGAAUUACUCGAAUCUUAGAUCGUAGGAUGAACACCAAAAUACCCAAAUGUCGAACAUCGAAGUUUCAAGGCUUUGAGGCUGAGAUAGACUUUAAUCGGGUGUUUUUUGUCGAAAACAUGCGAUUAAGGUCCGUCUCUGUCCGAGAUAAGGGGCAUAUCAAAGUUAAAGACAAGAGGUUCGAGCCCUGUUAUCUUGGUGGUCUCAUUUUUAGGUAUUUCCUUGUAUUCUCCUCUUCUUCUGUGUCGUUUUAAUUUGUCAUUUUUAUGCGUUAAUUAUCUCGUCCUCUUCUCCGACCUUUUUUUUGGUCCAAAUUUUCGUUUGUUAAUUAUCAUAUGUUAUAAAUGGUUUAAUCGAUUAAAUAAGUGUCGUCGAUUAGUCCAUUAUGUUUGAGUGUUAGCGAUGUUGAUUAUGUUAUAAUGGUUUAGUUUUCGGUUUUUGAUUUCAUAGUUCAUUCUAGUCUGUUUCUCAUCAUGUUGUGUGUUGGAAAUGAGCCUGAUGAUAUGUUGGAACUUAGAACUGAGCCUAUUGAUAUAUUUAGUUCAUCUCAUGAACUGAAUUAAUUGCUCAUUUUGUCUUGUCAAAUUCCCUUAAUGCUCUUCUGAUUAUUUCUUCUUUUGUUUUCAAAUUCGAUUGGGUGUAUAGUUGGUUCACUUGUUUCUGUUAUAUGUAAGAUUGGUUCCCCAAUAUAGAUUAGCUUAAUGCAUGCUACCAUGAACACUUGCUCUUCAUGUUUGGUGCCAUUUUUUAUUUGAUUUGAAUUACUGAUUUUUUUAUUAAGGAUUGGCUAUAGCAGUUAAUUAGAGAAUGGUUAUAGAUAAUUAGAGUGACAUGUGUUGGAAAUGAGCCUGAUGAUAUGUUAGAACUUAGAACUGAGCCUAUUGAUAUAUUAAGUUCAUCUCAUGAACUGAAUUGAUUGCUCAUUUUGUCUGUCAAAUUCCCUUAAUGCUCUUUUGAUCGUUUUUUCUUUUGUUUUCCAAUUUGAUUGGGUGUAUAGUUGGUUCACUUGUUUUUGUUAUAUGUAAGAUUGGUUCCCCAAUAUAGAUUAGCUUAAUGAAUGCUACCAUGAACCCUUGGUCUUCAUGUUUGGUGCCAUUUUUGAUUUGAUUUGAGUUUCUUCUUUGAAUUACUGAUUUUGGAUUAAGGAUUGGCGAUAACUAUUAAUUAGAGAAUGGUUUUAGAUAAUUAGAGGUUUAGUUCUGUUUGCUGAUGUUCUGAACCAGAACAAUAGCAGUCAGUAGGAUUCAGGCAGUCAGUUCAUCUCAUGAACUGAAUUGAUUGCUCAUUUUGUCUGUCAAAUUCCCUUAAUGCUCUUCUGAUUGUUUCUCUUUUGUUUUCCAAUUCGAUUGGAAGUAUAGUUGUUUCACUUGUUUCUGUUAUACGUAAGAUUGGUUCCCCAAUAUUGAUUAGCUUAAUGAAUGCUACCAUGAACCCUUGGUCUUCAUAUUUGGUGCCAUUUUUGAUUUGAUUUGAUUUUCUUCUUUGAAUUACUGAUUUUGGAUUAAGGAUUGGAUAUAGCUGUUAAUUAGAGAAUGGUUUUAGAUAACUAGAGGUUUGGUUCUGUUUCUGAUGUUCUGAAUCAGAACAGUAGUAGUCAGUAGGAUUCAGGGGGUAAUUUGGGAAUUGAAAAAUGAGAAAAUGAUCGGUUUGAAAUAGCCUGCCAGUUGAAUGGUUUGGGGGCCAUUGAACCAUUGAAUAAUUUAAUUAAAAAGGAGGUACUGUGGGGUCCAUGCUGACUGCUUUUACUUAAUUGGACAUCAGAAAUAGUAUAGGUAAUAAUAAAAGUUAAAAAAUACACAUAGUUAGAGGAAUAUUGGGUUGGAAAGUAAAAUGGGUAGUAAUAAUCGGUAAAAAGAAAAAGAAAAUUGACUGAAAAGGGGACCGCUGCCUUUGACAUAAAAUAGGGGUCAUUUAACACUUAAUGGGGAGGAAUUUUUUGAAGGAGAAUUUCAGAACUUAAGAGCUUAGGACUGGAUUUUGAAGAUAGAAGUCCAGAGUUUAAAGAGUGAAUUGAGGCUGAACUUUGCACACAAAGAAAUUUUUUCAAAGUUUAAGUUAAAGGACUGAAUUUUAACAUUAGAAAAUCCAGUAAUUUGAGAGAAAGGAACUGAAAAGUGAGCCCCUUUCUGUUAUCUGAAAAUCAGGAUAGCUUGCUACUGUAUCAUUGAAGCUUCACUUCUUUAUUUGAGUGUUUGAAAAUCAGAAACAUCUUGUUCCACUGUGUUUUCUGAUUCCCCUGUUUUCUGCCAGUAAUUUUUGGUCUUGUUGGUUUUCAAGUGGUAAUUUCUUGAUUGUGCUAUCGGAUUAACUGUUAUUGUUCAUUCGGAACUGUGAGUUUUUCAAAUCUGUCCCGGGGGUUUCUGUUGUUGGAUUUUGCUGGUUAUUACUGCUUAAAAGCUGGUUUUAUCCGUACCGUCGCUUCUGCUGUGUUGUUGUUGCUUAAUUCUCAUCCUCCUUUUCUUCUUGUACUCCAAUACCAGGUACACUACUUUGAAUCAACUCGAUGUAUGUUCAUUGAAGUUGAAAUGAAAUGGCCCAAGGAUUUAUGAUUCAACUAAUGAGAACCUGUAUUUAGUUAAUCUUUAUUAGGUAUUUUCCUGUUAUAUUAAUGAUAUAUGUAUGCAUAAUUAGGACUGUUCUUUUAUAAAAUCACUGUUUAACAAUAAAAUGAUGUGUAAUGUUAGAUUAUGGAACUGAAAUCCUUGAAAUGGCGUGAACAUUAGUCAACAAAGUAUGUAAUCUUAAUUUGAGCAAUUUGUUAGAUUGUUAAGCUAGUGGAUGUGUGUCUGUAUGAACCUCAUAUUUAUUAGUUUCAGCUUUGUUAGUUCAUAUAUGUAGAAUAGUGUAGUACGAAAUCACAUUCAAUUCGAAUUGAUGAUUAAUAAGUGUUGAGAAUUGUUUCGAUUUAGUUGAUUGGUGAGGUAAAUCUGAGCUCAAGAAACUCGAAUAGAAGUAAUUGAAGUUUGGUGAUUUUGAGUUUUGUUAGUUACAAAAAUCCGCAAGUAUUAGGCAAACAUAAGUGGUCACUAAUUUUAUAGAAUCAAUAGGUUUGACAUAUUUGAAGUGUGAAUCAAUGUAGCAAGGCUAAGAACCUUAGUCCAAUAGGCAUGAAU
RNAcentral lists this long non-coding RNA (16674 nucleotides) under Nicotiana benthamiana. RNAcentral describes it as "long non-coding RNA (NBEN_LNC033939)". The record is from RNAcentral. Lineage: Eukaryota; Viridiplantae; Streptophyta; Magnoliopsida; Solanales; Solanaceae.